GACGAACGCUGGCGGCGUGCUUAACACAUGCAAGUCGAACGGUGAUGCUCCAGCUUGCUGGAGUGGAUCAGUGGCGAACGGGUGAGUAACACGUGAGCAACCUGCCCCAGACUCUGCAAUAAGCGCUGGAAACGGCGUCUAAUACUGGAUACGAAACUGGCCCGCAUGGGCAUGGUUUGGAAAGUUUUUCGGUUUGGGAUGGGCUCGCGGCCUAUCAGCUUGUUGGUGAGGUAAUGGCUCACCAAGGCGACGACGGGUAGCCGGCCUGAGAGGGCGACCGGCCACACUGGGACUGAGACACGGCCCAGACUCCUACGGGAGGCAGCAGUGGGGAAUAUUGCACAAUGGGCGAAAGCCUGAUGCAGCGACGCCGCGUGAGGGAUGACGGCCUUCGGGUUGUAAACCUCUUUCAGCAGGGAAGAAGCGAAAGUGACGGUACCUGCAGAAGAAGCACCGGCUAACUACGUG
This 468-nucleotide ribosomal RNA is filed under the name uncultured bacterium. RNAcentral describes it as "partial 16S ribosomal RNA". It matches the Rfam family "Bacterial small subunit ribosomal RNA", at positions 28 to 507 of the family's 1533-position model. The record is from RNAcentral.